This 75-nucleotide transfer RNA is filed under the name Lysobacterales bacterium. RNAcentral describes it as "tRNA-Gln". It matches the Rfam family "tRNA". Rfam says of the family: Transfer RNA (tRNA) molecules are approximately 80 nucleotides in length. The record is from RNAcentral. Lineage: Bacteria; Pseudomonadati; Pseudomonadota; Gammaproteobacteria; Lysobacterales. RNAcentral also lists the same sequence under 1 other name.
UGGGGCGUCGCCAAGUGGUAAGGCACCAGGUUUUGAUCCUGGCAUUCGCAGGUUCGAAUCCUGCCGCCCCAGCCA